GCCCUGACAGCACAGAGAUGCCUCUGUAGAGAUGAAACUUGGCUCCCUUCUGGUCCUCUGGCCACCUGUAGAGGCAGUGGAGCUCCUGAGGGACAGAGAUGUGUGUUGAAGCGCCUUGUAACAUUUGGCUCUCACCUAACAAGAUUCUCAGACGCCUCCAUCCGCCCUAUUUUGAUCUCCACAUCCGUCUUUGAUUCACUUACUGCAUUCUGCAGCCUGGAAGCCAAGUUUGGAGAGCGAAGAAGACUAAACUGGACUGGGGACCCCAAAAUGCAGUGCAAUGUCUUCUUAGUCUGGCGUUAGCCCUAAAAGCCAACAAAGAGCUCAAUCUACCUAACAGCUAACGGCAGCCACUUUCAGGUUUAUCCUUUGAGGCUCGAAAUGGCUCUUCUUCCAGCAGGCUGUAAGUAAAGAGGUGGACGGAGGCUAAGCCAAUGAAACAGUUGCUGGUGUUUGUUGAGUGGCCCACGGCCAGGUAGUGGGUUAAGAGCGGAAUAUGUAUUGCCUUUUUAAUCUGCAAGGCAACUUUCUGUUGCAGAAACUUUCUUCUGGAUUAGGAAACUGAAGCACAAAAUAAAGAACUCAUUCAAGACCUUGGGCUGUACAGUGGGGCCGGGAUCUAUACCCAAGAUAAAGGGUUUGACAAUCCACACCUUAGCUACGUGAUCAAAUGACUCCCAACCUGCAGCCAAGGCAUCUACCACAUCAAAUAUUUACACUGUGAAGAUCACUGGGCAUAUGCCCUUGAGCAGGCUGACGUGGUAAAGAUUAGUCAGUCACAAUAACUCCCACCUUUGUGUAACUUAUAUAAUGUUCCUUCCUUCCAUUCCCUCUUUCUUUCCUGUCUUUAUGAGACACAAUUUAACUAUGUGGCCCAAGCUAACCUGAAACUUGCCGUGAAGCCCAGGCUAACCUAGAAUUUGCAAUUCUCCUGCCCCAGUCUGGAAAAUGCUGGUACCACAGAUGUGAACCACCACACUCGGCUCUCCUUUUAAUUUUAGGGAUAACUGAAACACAGAGGAAAAUAAGGACAGCAUUGAUACGG
Mus musculus (house mouse) is the source of this 1045-nucleotide long non-coding RNA. RefSeq annotates it as predicted gene, 49306. NCBI's taxonomy places the organism in Eukaryota, Metazoa, Chordata, Mammalia, Rodentia, Muridae. The record is from RefSeq and is a predicted model, not a curated record. The transcript is spliced from 3 exons.